RNAcentral lists this ribosomal RNA (253 nucleotides) under uncultured bacterium. Its description in RNAcentral is "partial 16S ribosomal RNA". It matches the Rfam family "Bacterial small subunit ribosomal RNA", at positions 524 to 776 of the family's 1533-position model. The record is from RNAcentral.
UACGGGGGGGGCAAGCGUUGUUCGGAAUUACUGGGCGUAGAGGGUUUGUAGGUGGCUCGCUAAGUCAGACGUGAAAUCCCUCAGCUUAACUGGGGAACUGCGUCUGAGACUGGCAAGCUUGAGUGCAGGAGAGGAACGCGGAAUUCCAGGUGUAGCGGUGAAAUGCGUAGAUAUCUGGAGGAACACCGGUGGCGAAGGCGGCGUUCUGGACUGUAACUGACACUGAGGAACGAAAGCCAGGGGAGCAAACGGG